AACAGGCGAGUCGACUCCUGAUCGCGCGAGUCGACUCCGAUCCCAACGGUCAUAUUGUCAGGAGGUGCAGACUGGUUCCAACGGCUCUAUUUUUGUCUCUAACGGCUAUAUUCUUGUCUCCACGCCAUCUAAAGCUAUAAAAACAAGAGGAGAGCUAGGGGAGACGGUAUGGAAGUGGGAGAAAACAUUUAGGGAAGAGAUUCCAAGAGAAAUCUCCCAUAAGCACAAUAAGGGCCAUUCAAAGUGAAAUAGAGAGAAGAAGAGCUUCCAAGUGUAUUCCAAAGCUUCCUCUCCAUCCGUGUGCUGCCGCGGUGAUCCUCUACUUCGUGCCAAAUCAGAAGAGGGUCAAGUAAAGAAGAAGUCGAGCUCCUCCAUCUUCAAAACUCGUUUGAGGGCUUCUCUUUACUCUAUUUGUUUAUAUUGUUAUAUUUGCUUGUUUAAGAAGCUUUGAUUUGUUUUAAACUUUGUUU
Molecule: long non-coding RNA, 470 nt
Filed under: Phoenix dactylifera (date palm)
Lineage: Eukaryota; Viridiplantae; Streptophyta; Magnoliopsida; Arecales; Arecaceae
Description: long non-coding RNA (PDAC_LNC018682)
Source: RNAcentral